UGCCAGCAGCCGCGGUAAUACGUAGGUGGCAAGCGUUGUCCGGAUUUACUGGGCGUAAAGAGCGCGCAGGCGGCCAGGUAAGUCGAAUGUGAAAGCCCCCGGCUCAACUGGGGAAGGUCAUUCGAUACUGCUUGGCUUGAAGAUGGGAGAGGGAAGCGGAAUUUCCGGUGUAGUGGUGAAAUGCGUAGAUAUCGGAAGGAACACCAGUGGCGAAGGCGGCUUUCUGGCCCAUUCUUGACGCUGAGGCGCGAAAGCUAGGGGAGCGAACGGGAUUAGAUA
Molecule: ribosomal RNA, 279 nt
Filed under: uncultured bacterium
Lineage: Bacteria
Description: partial 16S ribosomal RNA
Rfam family: Bacterial small subunit ribosomal RNA
Source: RNAcentral